RNAcentral lists this ribosomal RNA (392 nucleotides) under uncultured bacterium. RNAcentral describes it as "bacterial SSU rRNA". It matches the Rfam family "Bacterial small subunit ribosomal RNA", at positions 30 to 429 of the family's 1533-position model. The record is from RNAcentral.
ACUGAACGCUGGCGGCAUGCUUUACACAUGCAAGUCGAACGGCAGCGCGGGGCAACCUGGCGGCGAGUGGCGAACGGGUGAGUAAUAUAUCGGAACGUACCCAGAAGUGGGGGAUAACGUAGCGAAAGUUACGCUAAUACCGCAUACGAUCUACGGAUGAAAGUGGGGGACCUUCGGGCCUCAUGCUUUUGGAGCGGCCGAUAUCUGAUUAGCUAGUUGGUAGGGUAAAGGCCACCAAGGCGACGAUCAGUAGCUGGUCUGAGAGGACGACCAGCCACACUGGGACUGAGACACGGCCCAGACUCCUACGGGAGGCAGCAGUGGGGAAUUUUGGACAAUGGGCGCAAGCCUGAUCCAGCAAUGCCGCGUGAGUGAAGAAGGCCUGGUGUAAG